RNAcentral lists this long non-coding RNA (323 nucleotides) under Capsella rubella. RNAcentral describes it as "long non-coding RNA (CRUB_LNC003953)". Lineage: Eukaryota; Viridiplantae; Streptophyta; Magnoliopsida; Brassicales; Brassicaceae. The record is from RNAcentral.
AAAUUUAAUUUAUUUUAAUAAAAUUAUAAUUAAUUUACGUUUAAUGUUUAAAAUUUUCACGGUUCAAAAUGUCAACACAGUGACCAUACUCGUUAUUACUUUUGUCGAAUAGUAUAAAUCAAUCCCCAGCUACUUGGAGCGUAUGAAUAUGAAUUAUCUCUUUAAACAGUUGUUUAUAUCUAUUUCAAUAGUGUCGUUGUUGAAUAAAUACUAAAAAAGUAAAAUAAAAAUUGUGUAAUUCUCAUCCGUUAGGUUAGGUCAAAUUAAACAUAUUCUUUUGGAAAAACGAUAUGAUUAUUUUUAUUGGUGUGACACAAUCUUGG